Molecule: long non-coding RNA, 232 nt
Organism: Perca flavescens (yellow perch)
Lineage: Eukaryota; Metazoa; Chordata; Actinopteri; Perciformes; Percidae
Exons: 3
Source: RefSeq, a predicted model, not a curated record
GGGGUCAGGAAGGCUUUAUGACUAGGCAGCCACAUCUACACAGACUAACAGGCAGAGCUAGUGAGACUAAAAGAUGAAGAGAUAAGAUGGAGGAAGACAACGAUGACAACACAGCAGCUGGAGGAGGAGGAGAGUCUGAAACCAAAUCUGUACCAUCUGCAGCCAAUAAGAAUGUGAAACCUAAACUCACACUUGUGUUAAUUGGUGACAAGAAUGUAAUUGAGAUUGGAUC